RNAcentral lists this ribosomal RNA (252 nucleotides) under uncultured bacterium. Its description in RNAcentral is "partial 16S ribosomal RNA". It matches the Rfam family "Bacterial small subunit ribosomal RNA", at positions 524 to 776 of the family's 1533-position model. The record is from RNAcentral.
UACGUAAGGACCGAGCGUUGUCCGGAAUCAUUGGGCGUAAAGGGUACGUAGGCGGUUUUUUAGGUCCACAUUAAAAUGCAUUGGCUCAACCAAUGUUCGGUGUGGAAACUAUAAAACUUGAGUAGAUGAGGGGCAAGUGGAAUUCCUAGUGUAGCGGUGAAAUGCUUAGAUAUUAGGAGGAAUACCAGUGGCGAAGGCGACUUGCUGGACUCUAACUGACGCUGAGGUACGAAAGCGUGGGGAGCAAACAGG